This 469-nucleotide long non-coding RNA is filed under the name Bos indicus x Bos taurus (hybrid cattle). Its description in RNAcentral is "lncRNA (ENSBIXG00005020889.1)". The record is from RNAcentral. Lineage: Eukaryota; Metazoa; Chordata; Mammalia; Artiodactyla; Bovidae.
UUGCAGUUAGAAGAAAAGAAACAAGAGGAUCCAUUCUGGCCCCACCUGAAUUUCCCUUUCUCUGCCUUGAAUACGAAGUGAUACCUUUAGCUCAAAUUAUCAGACUGGAACAGGAUAAGAGGAGUGGAAAGUAAAUUACCAAGGACAAGGCUGGAAGGAAAGAAUCAGGAAGAAAAUCUGGGAAAGAAAGCAAGUGCCCUGGCUGGAGACCAAACAAAGAACAGGAAUACGACCAGAUAAAGAGGCUUUGUCAAAGCACAUUAAGGGACACUAUAGUCGCUAAACUCUCAUAAAGAAAACAAAUAGAGCAGACAUGCUACAGACUUGGACUUGCUUUCUACAUCAGACUAUCAAGUGUGUUUCAAGUUGAAAAGAUUCCAGCUGGGCCAUAAAAGCUUCCCUUGCAUCAGGUGAGUCAUCCAUGCUGCUGACGUAGGGCCCAGCACUCUUACAUGCACACACGCUUACA